GAUGAAGAACGCAGCGAAAUGCGAUAAGUAAUGUGAAUUGCAGAAUUCAGUGAAUCAUCGAAUCUUUGAACGCACCUUGCACCCUUUGGCAUUCCGAAGGGUAUGCUCGUUUGAGUGUCAUUGUACUCUCACACUUCCAAUUCUUUGGAUUGGGAGCGGUGGACUUGGGUGCUGCUGCUUACCGUGGCUCACCUCAAAUGUGUUAGUGCAACCGUUGGUUAGACAUAGUACAGCGUGAUAAGUAUCUUCGCUGGCGCCUCACUCGAGGGUGGCUGAUCAGGGCUCUGUGCUCACAAUCGUCUUCGGACAAUCACUGACAACUUGACCUCAAAUCGAGUAGGACUACCCGCUGAACUUAAGCAUAUCAAUAAGCGGAGGA
This 379-nucleotide unclassified non-coding RNA is filed under the name soil metagenome. Its description in RNAcentral is "partial contains 5.8S ribosomal RNA, internal transcribed spacer 2, and large subunit ribosomal RNA". The stretch from base 1 to 120 matches the Rfam family "5.8S ribosomal RNA", at positions 35 to 154 of the family's 154-position model. The record is from RNAcentral.